Molecule: ribosomal RNA, 492 nt
Filed under: uncultured bacterium
Lineage: Bacteria
Description: partial 16S ribosomal RNA
Rfam family: Bacterial small subunit ribosomal RNA
Source: RNAcentral
AGUGAACGCUGGCGGUAGGCCUAACACAUGCAAGUCGAACGGCAGCACAGUAAGAGCUUGCUCUUACGGGUGGCGAGUGGCGGACGGGUGAGGAAUACAUCGGAAUCUACUUUUUCGUGGGGGAUAACGUAGGGAAACUUACGCUAAUACCGCAUACGACCUACGGGUGAAAGCAGGGGAUCUUCGGACCUUGCGCGAUUGAAUGCGCCGAUGUCGGAUUAGCUAGUUGGCGGGGUAAAGGCCCACCAAGGCGACGAUCCGUAGCUGGUCUGAGAGGAUGAUCAGCCACACUGGAAGUGAGACACGGUCCAGACUCCUACGGGAGGCAGCAGUGGGGAAUAUUGGACAAUGGGCGCAAGCCUGAUCCAGCCAUACCGCGUGGGUGAAGAAGGCCUUCGGGUUGUAAAGCCCUUUUGUUGGGAAAGAAAAGCAGCAGGUUAAUACCCCGCUGUUCUGACGGUACCCAAAGAAGAAGCACCGGCUAACUUCGUG